UACGAAGGUGGCAAGCGUGGUUCGGAUUUACUGGGCGUACAGGGAGCGUAGGCGGUUGGAUAAGCCCUCCGUGAAAUCUCCAGGCUUAACCUGGAAAGUGCAGAGGGGACUGUUCAGCUAGAGGAUGGGAGAGGAGCGCGGAAUUCCCGGUGUAGCGGUGAAAUGCGCAGAUAUCAGGAGGAAUACCGAUGGCGAAGGCAGGUCUCUGGGCUGACACUGACGCUCAUGCACGAAAGCGUGGGGAGCAAACAGG
This 253-nucleotide ribosomal RNA is filed under the name uncultured bacterium. RNAcentral's name for it is "partial 16S ribosomal RNA". It matches the Rfam family "Bacterial small subunit ribosomal RNA", at positions 524 to 776 of the family's 1533-position model. The record is from RNAcentral.